RNAcentral lists this transfer RNA (74 nucleotides) under Acanthogobius lactipes. RNAcentral describes it as "tRNA-Leu". It matches the Rfam family "tRNA". Rfam says of the family: Transfer RNA (tRNA) molecules are approximately 80 nucleotides in length. Their secondary structure includes four short double-helical elements and three loops (D, anti-codon, and T loops). Lineage: Eukaryota; Metazoa; Chordata; Actinopteri; Gobiiformes; Gobiidae. The record is from RNAcentral.
GUUAUGGUGGCAGAGCCCGGAUAUGCAAAAGAUCUAAGAUCUUUCUAGUGGAGGUUCAAAUCCUCCUCAUAACU